UACAGAGGUCUCAAGCGUUGUUCGGAUUCAUUGGGCGUAAAGGGUGCGUAGGCGGCGCGGUAAGUCGGGUGUGAAAUCUCGGAGCUUAACUCCGAAACUGCAUUCGAUACUGCCGUGCUUGAGGACUGGAGGGGAGACUGGAAUUCUCGGUGUAGCAGUGAAAUGCGUAGAUAUCGAGAGGAACACCAGUGGCGAAGGCGAGUCUCUGGACAUUUCCUGACGCUGAGGCACGAAAGCCAGGGGAGCAAACGGG
This 253-nucleotide ribosomal RNA is filed under the name uncultured bacterium. RNAcentral's name for it is "partial 16S ribosomal RNA". It matches the Rfam family "Bacterial small subunit ribosomal RNA", at positions 524 to 776 of the family's 1533-position model. The record is from RNAcentral.